CUCUGCACUGUGUUCCUGCUCCAGCUUCAGCAGCAGACAUCCCAGGAUGAGAGAACUAGAAGAGACUUGAGAGGUGAUUCCUUCCAUGGAUCCAUGGAUGAUAGAUUCUUCCAGGGAAUCUGCAGUGGCCUCCAUGCUGUUUCCAGCUUGUUUUAACAGAUGAAAAAGUGGGAACUGAGGUGGUGGCUUGCCCACAAUGAUGCACCUGGUGAAAGUGCAGCAGAAUUUGAACCCAGUCCUUUGCACCAGUUUUCUGAAGAAGUUUAAAUCCUCACUUGUUCCCCUUCCAGGAGUCAGGAAUUUCUGGUUCUUGGCCCAGCUGACAUAUGCACAUGUGACUGACCUCCUCUGACCCCAGGUUUGGAUGCCAUAUUGUCUGCUUCCAGAACAAGGAUCUUCACUAUACAUUGGGACCCAGGCCCCUCUGACAUCUCCUGAAUAAAAAGCGAUGUUUAAUAAAACAGUUUAAAAUUUGUAAUUCC
Odocoileus virginianus texanus is the source of this 482-nucleotide long non-coding RNA. RefSeq lists it as uncharacterized. NCBI's taxonomy places the organism in Eukaryota, Metazoa, Chordata, Mammalia, Artiodactyla, Cervidae. The record is from RefSeq and is a predicted model, not a curated record.